RNAcentral lists this ribosomal RNA (301 nucleotides) under uncultured bacterium. RNAcentral describes it as "partial 16S ribosomal RNA". It matches the Rfam family "Bacterial small subunit ribosomal RNA", at positions 512 to 809 of the family's 1533-position model. The record is from RNAcentral.
CUCGCCGCGUUAAUACGUAGGGUGCAAGCGUUAAUCGGAAUUACUGGGCGUAAAGCGUGCGCAGGCGGUUUGUUAAGACAGAUGUGAAAUCCCCGGGCUCAACCUGGGAACUGCAUUUGUGACUGGCAGGCUAGAGUAUGGCAGAGGGGGGUGGAAUUCCGCGUGUAGCAGUGAAAUGCGUAGAUAUGCGGAGGAACACCGAUGGCGAAGGCAGCCCCCUGGGCCAAUACUGACGCUCAUGCACGAAAGCGUGGGGAGCAAACAGGAUUAGAUACCCGAGUAGUCCCUGUCUCUUAUACAC